AGCUUUCCUUUUAUCUUCCUCCACAGGAUCAGCCUUCGCAGGAGGUGCGAACCUUGCCAGCCUAGCUUUCUUCUUAGCAUCCUCAUCAGUACUAUCAGAUUGGCUAAGCCCAAACCUCUCAGCCCUAGCUUUCCUCUUCUGCUCUUCAGCUUUCUUUGAAGCAUCUGAACCCUGAGGUGCAGACGUGCCAAACCUCUCAGCUCGAGUGUUUCGCUUCUCCUCUUCCGAAAGCUGAACCGUCAUUCCAAACCUCUCUGCUCGCUUCAUCUUUUUCUGUAUAUCAGUAUCCUUA
This 292-nucleotide unclassified non-coding RNA is filed under the name Hevea brasiliensis (rubber tree). Lineage: Eukaryota; Viridiplantae; Streptophyta; Magnoliopsida; Malpighiales; Euphorbiaceae. The record is from RNAcentral.